This 252-nucleotide ribosomal RNA is filed under the name uncultured bacterium. RNAcentral's name for it is "partial 16S ribosomal RNA". It matches the Rfam family "Bacterial small subunit ribosomal RNA", at positions 1250 to 1500 of the family's 1533-position model. The record is from RNAcentral.
CGAGAUCGAGAGAUGGAGCAAAUCCCAAAAAUAAACGUCCCAGUUCGGACUGUAGUCUGCAACCCGACUACACGAAGCUGGAAUCGCUAGUAAUCGCGGAUCAGAAUGCCGCGGUGAAUACGUUCCCGGGUCUUGUACACACCGCCCGUCACACCAUGAGAGUUGGAGAUACCCGAAGCCUAUGAGCUUAACUUUUAGAGGCAGUAGUCGAAGGUAGAAUCAAUGAUUGGGGUGAAGUCGUAACAAGGUACC